UACGAAGGGCCCAAGCGUUAUCCGGAUUUAUUGGGCUUAAAGGGUGCGUAGGCGGGUUAUUAAGUCAGGGGUGAAAGCCUUCAGCUUAACUGAAGAAUUGCCAUUGAUACUGAUGAUCUUGAGUAUGAUUGAGGUGGGCGGAAUGUGUCAUGUAGCGGUGAAAUGCUUAGAUAUGACACAGAACACCGAUUGCGAAGGCAGCUCACUAAGUCAUAACUGACGCUGAUGCACGAAAGCGUGGGGAGCAAACAGG
Molecule: ribosomal RNA, 253 nt
Filed under: uncultured bacterium
Lineage: Bacteria
Description: partial 16S ribosomal RNA
Rfam family: Bacterial small subunit ribosomal RNA
Source: RNAcentral